Molecule: ribosomal RNA, 1434 nt
Filed under: uncultured organism
Description: 16S ribosomal RNA
Rfam family: Bacterial small subunit ribosomal RNA
Source: RNAcentral
GAUGAACGCUAGCUACAGGCUUAACACAUGCAAGUCGAGGGGCAGCAUGGUCUUAGCUUGCUAAGGCCGAUGGCGACCGGCGCACGGGUGAGUAACGCGUAUCCAACCUGCCUUACACUCUUGGACAGCCUUCUGAAAGGGAGAUUAAUACAAGAUGUUAUCAUGAGUAAGCAUUUUCGCAUGAUUAAAGGUUUACCGGUGUAAGAUGGGGAUGCGUUCCAUUAGAUAGUAGGCGGGGUAACGGCCCACCUAGUCUUCGAUGGAUAGGGGUUCUGAGAGGAAGGUCCCCCACAUUGGAACUGAGACACGGUCCAAACUCCUACGGGAGGCAGCAGUGAGGAAUAUUGGUCAAUGGACGAGAGUCUGAACCAGCCAAGUAGCGUGAAGGAUGAAGGUUCUAUGGAUUGUAAACUUCUUUUAUACGGGAAUAAACGGAUCCACGUGUGGAUUUUUGCAUGUACCGUAUGAAUAAGGAUCGGCUAACUCCGUGCCAGCAGCCGCGGUAAUACGGAGGAUCCGAGCGUUAUCCGGAUUUAUUGGGUUUAAAGGGAGCGUAGAUGGGUUGUUAAGUCAGUUGUGAAAGUUUGCGGCUCAACCGUAAAAUUGCAAUUGAUACUGGCAGUCUUGAGUACAGUUGAGGUAGGCGGAAUUCGUGGUGUAGCGGUGAAAUGCUUAGAUAUCACGAAGAACUCCGAUUGCGAAGGCAGCUUACUAACCUGUAACUGACAUUGAUGCUCGAAAGUGUGGGUAUCAAACAGGAUUAGAUACCCUGGUAGUCCACACGGUAAACGAUGAAUACUCGCUGUAGGCGAUAUACAGUCUGCGGCCAAGCGAAAGCAUUAAGUAUUCCACCUGGGGAGUACGCCGGCAACGGUGAAACUCAAAGGAAUUGACGGGGGCCCGCACAAGCGGAGGAACAUGUGGUUUAAUUCGAUGAUACGCGAGGAACCUUACCCGGGCUUAAAUUGCAACCGAAUAUGGCGGAAACGCUAUAGCUAGCAAUAGCGGUUGUGAAGGUGCUGCAUGGUUGUCGUCAGCUCGUGCCGUGAGGUGUCGGCUUAAGUGCCAUAACGAGCGCAACCCUUGCCGAUAGUUACUAACAGGUCAUGCUGAGGACUCUGUCGGGACUGCCAUCGUAAGAUGUGAGGAAGGUGGGGAUGACGUCAAAUCAGCACGGCCCUUACGUCCGGGGCUACACACGUGUUACAAUGGGGGGUACAGAGGGCUGCUACCACGCAAGUGGAUGCCAAUCCCAAAAACCUCUCUCAGUUCGGAUUGAAGUCUGCAACCCGACUUCAUGAAGCUGGAUUCGCUAGUAAUCGCGCAUCAGCCACGGCGCGGUGAAUACGUUCCCGGGCCUUGUACACACCGCCCGUCAAGCCAUGGGAGCCGGGGGUACCUGAAGUGCGUAACCGCAAGGAGCGCCCUAGGGUA